GAGUUUGAUCAUGGCUCAGAUUGAACGCUGGCGGCAGGCCUAACACAUGCAAGUCGAACGGUAACAGGAAACAGCUUGCUGUUUCGCUGACGAGUGGCGGACGGGUGAGUAAUGUCUGGGAAACUGCCUGAUGGAGGGGGAUAACUACUGGAAACGGUAGCUAAUACCGCAUAACGUCGCAAGACCAAAGAGGGGGACCUUCGGGCCUCUUGCCAUCAGAUGUGCCCAGAUGGGAUUAGCUAGUAGGUGGGGUAACGGCUCACCUAGGCGACGAUCCCUAGCUGGUCUGAGAGGAUGACCAGCCACACUGGAACUGAGACACGGUCCAGACUCCUACGGGAGGCAGCAGUGGGGAAUAUUGCACAAUGGGCGCAAGCCUGAUGCAGCCAUGCCGCGUGUAUGAAGAAGGCCUUCGGGUUGUAAAGUACUUUCAGCGGGGAGGAAGGGAGUAAAGUUAAUACCUUUGCUCAUUGACGUUACCCGCAGAAGAAGCACCGGCUAACUCCGUGCCAGCAGCCGCGGUAAUACGGAGGGUGCAAGCGUUAAUCGGAAUUACUGGGCGUAAAGCGCACGCAGGCGGUUUGUUAAGUCAGAUGUGAAAUCCCCGGGCUCAACCUGGGAACUGCAUCUGAUACUGGCAAGCUUGAGUCUCGUAGAGGGGGGUAGAAUUCCAGGUGUAGCGGUGAAAUGCGUAGAGAUCUGGAGGAAUACCGGUGGCGAAGGCGGCCCCCUGGACGAAGACUGACGCUCAGGUGCGAAAGCGUGGGGAGCAAACAGGAUUAGAUACCCUGGUAGUCCACGCCGUAAACGAUGUCGACUUGGAGGUUGUGCCCUUGAGGCGUGGCUUCCGGAGCUAACGCGUUAAGUCGACCGCCUGGGGAGUACGGCCGCAAGGUUAAAACUCAAAUGAAUUGACGGGGGCCCGCACAAGCGGUGGAGCAUGUGGUUUAAUUCGAUGCAACGCGAAGAACCUUACCUGGUCUUGACAUCCACGGAAGUUUUCAGAGAUGAGAAUGUGCCUUCGGGAACCGUGAGACAGGUGCUGCAUGGCUGUCGUCAGCUCGUGUUGUGAAAUGUUGGGUUAAGUCCCGCAACGAGCGCAACCCUUAUCCUUUGUUGCCAGCGGUCCGGCCGGGAACUCAAAGGAGACUGCCAGUGAUAAACUGGGGGAAGGUGGGGAUGACGUCAAGUCAUCAUGGCCCUUACGACCAGGGCUACACACGUGCUACAAUGGCGCAUACAAAGAGAAGCGACCUCGCGAGAGCAAGCGGACCUCAUAAAGUGCGUCGUAGUCCGGAUUGGAGUCUGCAACUCGACUCCAUGAAGUCGGAAUCGCUAGUAAUCGUGGAUCAGAAUGCCACGGUGAAUACGUUCCCGGGCCUUGUACACACCGCCCGUCACACCAUGGGAGUGGGUUGCAAAAGAAGUAGGUAGCUUAACCUUCGGGAGGGCGCUUACCACUUUGUGAUUCAUGACUGGGGUGAAGUCGUAACAAGGUAACCGUAGGGGAACCUGCGGUUG
This 1521-nucleotide ribosomal RNA is filed under the name metagenome. RNAcentral's name for it is "bacterial SSU rRNA". It matches the Rfam family "Bacterial small subunit ribosomal RNA". The record is from RNAcentral.